UUUUUUUAUUUUUUUAGGAUUUCUUAUCUUUCUUUUCUGUUGUAAUUUCCUUUUGCACUUUGAAUGGUACAAUUCUAUUUUCCUGAAAGGUACGGUGGACAGCUUCUGGGUUGGUGAGUAUAGAACACUGGAUGAUUACAUUUAAAGUUGGAGGUAUUAAGCAGGAAAAUUAUUUUAAUCAUUCCAGAUAUUCAAAAUACUGUUUGUUAAAUUGCUUAAUGCAAGUUCUUAAGCAAUACUUGGGGGGGGGGGGAACCCCAAAAAAACCGUAUCUUGCUAAAUGAACCAACAGAAUUUUCAAUAUAUAACUGAUACUGUGUGUAAUCUCAUCUAAGGAUUUCAAGAAGUCCUCUAGUAAAGUAAAGAAAAAGAAUUUCUGUCAUUUUCAUUACUUGAAGGAAAGAAACAUAGACAGAUAAGCCAGUCUGGACAAGAAUUUUGAGAAUGAUAAUCUGUUCGUUCUUUUCUGAUCACACUGAAUUCUCUCAAAGGAGAUUAAAAUGCAAAGAUCCAAAACCGAGCUUGUAUCUAUCCAAGAAGAAUUAAACAAGCGCUACUGCCAGUGAAAGUCCUACAGAUAACUCUGUUAGUAUCACUCACCCUAGAAUAUCAACGAUAUUAGUGGAAGAUUGAAAGCUAAAAUGAUACACUGCAUGGUUAGAGCCAAGGGUGAAGAAGAGCAAUAAAACGAAAUGAAUUGACACUGCAGAUCCCUUCUUGCAACCAAGUAGCAUGGAUCUUUAUAAUGACAUGCCAUACCAUGCUGUGUUGGACCUUGACAACUAAAACAACAGCCCUUUCUGCUUGGCCUAAACAAAGUGCAGGGACAUCAGAGACAGGAUCCUCCCUUCCAAACUACAACACCCAUAGUUUUUAACCACCUCCUUAUAUUCAGAACUUCAUGACAAUUUAAGAAAGGUGUCAUGCUACACUGACACUGUGCAAGCAGUGACGCAGGAACCAUAUAGUGAUGAACUCAUCUGUAACACCAACACCACCCUUGGCCCUGUUUACAGAGAUGCCCACUGUUUUCUAUUUUUCUCCACUACAGAUAUAAGGGCUACAUAGCUCUAGACUUCACGCUUCAUUUGUAGAGACAACCUGAUGUGGUCUUUGUCACAGCCAGUUUCCCAUCAUCUUUGACAACUAGGGGAAGUUGGCCCUCUGUUAGUAACUGUUGGUAAAAAUAAAGCAAGGACCUGAGUUUAAAGAAACCAAACCCAUUAAUAUAAUUUGGCAUAGUCUAAUGUAACUUCUGACUGAUGAUCCCUGAGAUUUCUUGCAUUAUGCCUGUUGGCUGAUAUUCACUGAAGACUCCCCACAGAAUAGAAGGCUGAGACCAGAGACUACAGAAAACCAUAUGUGGCAGUAGCAGCUGUGGAAAAUUUGGUAGUGUCAUAGAUCCCUGUAGAGAAACCAGCUUCAUCUCAACUUUCCAUACCACAGAACAAACAACCCCAAACAACAAAACAGAAACAGAGCACAGAACACCCUCUCCCUUUUAUGAAGAGCUGAAAUAGAUUCUGAAAACACGAACUGUUUCAUUACACAAUCAAGAAAUGCGACAUUUAUGACAUAUCAAAUGGUCAGGCCUCAUACCUGACAGACAGCUCAAACUCUGUGCACACGAAGUAAUCAAAGUUCAAGGAUCACAGGGACAGCAACCUCAGUUAAUCAGAAUCAUUUUGGGUUCUUGGAGGUCACAGAAUAACCAACUAAAAGCCAGGAACA
Molecule: long non-coding RNA, 1731 nt
Organism: Strigops habroptila (Kakapo)
Lineage: Eukaryota; Metazoa; Chordata; Aves; Psittaciformes; Psittacidae
Source: Ensembl